Molecule: ribosomal RNA, 253 nt
Filed under: uncultured bacterium
Lineage: Bacteria
Description: partial 16S ribosomal RNA
Rfam family: Bacterial small subunit ribosomal RNA
Source: RNAcentral
UACGUAGGGUGCGAGCGUUGUCCGGAAUUAUUGGGCGUAAAGAGCUCGUAGGUGGCGGGUCACGUCGGGUGUGAAAGCCCGGGGCUUAACUCCGGGUCUGCAUUCGAUACGGGUCUGCUGGGGUCCGGCAGGGGAGACUGGAAUUCCUGGUGUAGCGGUGAAAUGCGUAGAUAUCGAGAGGAACACCUGCGGCGAAGGCGGGUUGCUGGGCCGACACUGACGCUGAUGCGCGAAAGCCAGGGGAGCGAACGGG